This 253-nucleotide ribosomal RNA is filed under the name uncultured bacterium. RNAcentral's name for it is "partial 16S ribosomal RNA". It matches the Rfam family "Bacterial small subunit ribosomal RNA", at positions 524 to 776 of the family's 1533-position model. The record is from RNAcentral.
GACGAGGGAUCCUAGCGUUGUUCGGAAUCAUUGGGCGUAAAGAGGGCGUAGGUGGCCUUGUAAGUCAGAUGUGAAAUCCCCGGGCUUAACUUGGGAACUGCAUUUGGGACUGCAAGGCUGGAGUACGGCAGAGGGAGGUGGAAUUCCACGUGUAGCAGUGAAAUGCGUAGAGAUGUGGAGGAACACCGAUGGCGAAGGCAGCCUCCUGGGCUAGUACUGACGCUCAUGCACGAAAGCGUGGGGAGCAAACAGG